Molecule: long non-coding RNA, 378 nt
Filed under: Monodelphis domestica (gray short-tailed opossum)
Lineage: Eukaryota; Metazoa; Chordata; Mammalia; Didelphimorphia; Didelphidae
Description: lncRNA (ENSMODG00000051589.1)
Source: RNAcentral
AUGAAGAAACUGAGGUCCAACGAGGUGAAGCCACUUGCCCAAGGAUUAGUUAGGUCAUUAUAUAGAGGAGAGAGGAGGGGGAGAAAGAGGAAGAUGAGGAAGAAGAGGAAGAGGAAGAGAAAGAAGAAGAGGAAGAAGAAAGAGGAGGAGGAGGAGGAGGAAGAAAGAAGGAGGAGAAGGAAGAAAGAAGGGAGGAGGAGGAGAGGAGAAGGAAGAAGGGCAGGGGAUGAAGAAGAAGAAGAGGAAAAGGAGCAUAUGGCAUGCCUAUAUCAGGAUAAUGAGGCCAUGGCAGUCAGAGAUCAUAGGACCCAGACAUUAAGUACAGAACACGUAGAGAAAACUUUUCAUUCCCUACAACAAAGAGAAGAAAUGCUUUAA